GUGUGUUUCGGAAUGGUUUGACUGUAGGUUGGUCUGUUGGUCACUCCGUGAAGACUGAGUGUCUUUUUUUCCCCGCAAACAGGUGGUUACGGUCAGCUUCCAUACAAUGGCGCCCCAGUCUUCCCAGCUGGGCUAGAGGGUAAGUGUGUGUGUGUGCCUUUAGUUUGUGUGUGUGUGUGUAUGUGUUAUUUUACUGUCAAGGUGAUAAUGUAUGACUCCCGAAUCCCGCAGGUGAUGGUGGGUACCCAUAUGGUGCCGCUCAGCAACUCGGCAUGGGGGCUGAUGCAGGCAAAUCUGCCAGCAAAUAUGGGGACGCUGGGGCCGCACUCGGUGCCCAGCCUAAUGGACCACAGACUGGGGGCAAACCUAAUUGCAAAACUGGUAACGGCCGAGGAAAUGGACGAUCUCAGCCAGCUGCGUAUGCUGGGCCCCUUGCAGCCAGCCAGGGUGGCUACGG
Clupea harengus (Atlantic herring) is the source of this 457-nucleotide long non-coding RNA. NCBI's taxonomy places the organism in Eukaryota, Metazoa, Chordata, Actinopteri, Clupeiformes, Clupeidae. The record is from Ensembl.